UAAAAAACUCAUCCAUUUUCUUUCUUUUUGUACUUAGAGUGAUACACCAGUUCAGGAAAUGUGGCCAAUAUCAAAUACCACAAUAUAACGUUAACUGUAGUAGUAAUGACGGCUAUGUUAUCACCAUAUGUUGACAGAAACCAUGGUGACCACAGAUUUAAUUUCAUAAAAGGUUAUUGCACCUAAAUUAGUCUAUUAUAAUCCAGUAUUAUACAUAUUGUGUGUUUGUCGUUAUUUUCUCACCCUCGUUUGGUUCCACAUCUGUCUGUAUGACUAUGUCGUUUCUGCUCUAACAUUCUCUAAAUAACGUUAGUUGUUCACCGACUGACCAUUGAUUUUCAGAAAAAAAAGUUUAUUUUUCCAUAAACUUUCCCGUUUUAAGCUCCACAAAUUGAGCUCAUGUUGGUUUGGAGCGGCGUGAUGGUGAGUAAAUCACACAAUGUUCAUGUGUAGGUAACGUUAAGCCUUCUUUCUAUCUGGGCCGCUUUGUUGCCAAUGGCUGCAGGUUAACAAACAUCCCCGGCGAGAAACAAAAGCCCCAACAUGAAAGUUUUGCACACGUUUCGCUGAAACCAUUGCGCAAAUAGGAGACCACAUUCUACUGAAUUCUGGACGAUCUUUCGGUUAUUUGUAUCAAACAAUACUAUAAACACAAUAUUGAUAAUGAAUUUGAAAGAAAACAAACCCCAUUUA
This 693-nucleotide long non-coding RNA is filed under the name Danio rerio (zebrafish). RNAcentral's name for it is "si:dkey-249p7.3 (ENSDARG00000096617.2)". The record is from RNAcentral. Lineage: Eukaryota; Metazoa; Chordata; Actinopteri; Cypriniformes; Danionidae.